UACGUAGGGGGCUAGCGUUGUCCGGAAUCAUUGGGCGUAAAGAGCGUGUAGGCGGCCCGGUAAGUCCGCUGUGAAAGUCGGGGGCUCAACCCUCGAAUGCCGGUGGAUACUGUCGGGCUAGAGUGCGGAAGAGGCGAGUGGAAUUCCUGGUGUAGCGGUGAAAUGCGCAGAUAUCAGGAGGAACACCAAUUGCGAAGGCAGCUCGCUGGAACGUGACUGACGCUGAGACGCGAAAGCGUGGGGAGCAAACAGG
Molecule: ribosomal RNA, 253 nt
Filed under: uncultured bacterium
Lineage: Bacteria
Description: partial 16S ribosomal RNA
Rfam family: Bacterial small subunit ribosomal RNA
Source: RNAcentral